UCAGCUUGGUACGGGCCGUAACGCACAGCGACAUCUAGCGGCCACCUGAGGGGAAACAGUGAACUUCUGAAAGACAGCAACACCUACAGGCCGCCUGCAGAAAAACAUCACCUGUAACCCUCAGAGCUUUUUGAUGCGUGUAUGUACCAGCAGGUGCAUUGAGCAUUCAGCCUUCAUACGAUGAUGAUGAAUGGUGGGAGAAUGCAAAGAAUAACUAUUAUAAAAAAAAUCUCCGGCCCAGUGUGAUAAUGCUUGGUGGAGCAGCCAUACCUGCAGUAGGACUGGUGUCACUCACAGGUUGAUCCUGGAGCUCUACAUUGCGGUAUAAUCAAAGUCCCUAAAGGCUUCCGCAAUCUCCUUUUCCAUUUCCAAGGAACCCUCAGAGGGAGGAGUUAGAACUAGAUGUUGAUCUCCAUCCUCGGAAAGUCUAACAUCCUCAGCAUCUCGUAUAUUACAAUGCCCAGAGACCACCAGUCGACAGAUCUUGAGUAUGGCUCCCUGGCGAGGACUUCUGGCGCCAUGUAGCCAAACGAUCCUUUCAGGCUACUUGUUCGGCCUUCGUAGCCAAUUCCUGAAAAAAUCAGUUAUUGUAACUCUUUAAGCAGCCGCCAGCAACGUACUCCAUCAGAAAGAAUAGAUGGUAUUCUGACUGGAAGGUGGCGUGGAUAUCCACAAUGAAAGGGUGGUCAGCAACGGCGAAAGCAACCCGUUUCUCUAGCAAGAUCCUGAAUAUUAAAAACAUUCAUUGUCAAAACAAGGGACAUGGAUUUUCAGGGCAUAGGAUCUUUUGGUUGCCGCGUGUUCAACAAGGAGAACCUGGAAUAAGAAAGAAUCUCAGGAAAUGCAGGAAGAUACAUGCAGAACAUCCAUACCCCUUUCAGAGAACUGCAAGAAUCGAUCCAUACUUGCCCCCAGCAUUGCAAGGUUGCAUCUUACUGUGGGUCCUUUGUCACUGCCCGUGGACAUCCUUCUGCUGCAUCAGGUGGAGUUGGGCUGAUGUUUUCUUCAUCCACAGAUAUCUCACUAUAAGGAAAGAUCUCUAAUCGUCAGGCAUGAAGCGACAGCUUGAUAUUUCCAUCUGCCUUACCUCAGAAUGCCGGGGCCGACGCAAGAUGCCAGAAUGUCCGGCACCCAUCUUGACGCUCCUGUAUGAGAAAAAAAAGAAAGUCAAAUUUUCCCAAUAAUCCUCGGCGACAAAGAAGACGAUUAAUCAAGAACUGAGACUGACGUCUAUAAAUAAACAGCAACCAUCCAAUUUCAUUUUUGGGUAUCUUGAUGCAGCAUGCACGCAGACUGUCUGGUUCAAAACUGCCUGUUCUGAAAAGUCUGAGAUUCACAUGCAUUUUGGCCAACCAUGGACUCCUGAACGCAGGUCUGGACUGGGAUUCAAAGUAGGCCUGCCAUUGCAAGUACACAGAGGCCCAACCAGCCCCCCACAGGCCUAAUAAAUAGUCAGUGUCUAUGGCAUCUUACAGCAGCCACUCUGGCAUUUGCCAGAACUCACAGAUUUCCAGUCAGGGCCUGCCUGCACGUCACUGGUUCGUCCCGAUAACAUCAACUCAGCCUCCAGUCACCCACUUCACCCCCCUGGCCACAGAAUCCAACAUUCAAAGGUGGCAAACCUACUUCAAAUACAAUAUCUAGAUCCUAGAUAGGUCCUUAGAUUUACAAGUUUGUAGUUUUCCCAUACAUGGCUGGAGCAGGUUUCUGCUGUUGAUCGCAAAAUCAGUCAGUAGCAUUCACACUGGAGCCAAUUGACUUCCAGUAUCCAGGCUCAUCCUUGCUACUCAAUGGCUGGGAGCCCAUACAACAUAUUUGAGGCAGCCAGCAACCCCACUGUGCUACUCUGUUUUCUGAAGCCUGGUUAGGGAAGUCAAUGGGACCCUUUGCAUGGGAGGGUGAACAGUUUUAUAAAAGGUUCAUGGGCAGCUUUGUUUGCCUAUAAAGUAUGUAUGACUUUCUGUGGCUCUUCACCUGGGACAAAAGCGUCUCUCUUCUAAUUGGGCUAAAAUAACCAUCACCCUAAAGAAUUUUUUCAAAUUCACUCUCCAACCCACCGUUGGAGAAGAUAAAUUAAUUUGUUCCAGAGCCCACUGACACUAUAAACAAUCGUCCAGAUAUGGAAUUCCCAUAAUACCUUCCAAACGUAGCACUGCACCUAUGGACACCCUGGCAAAAACUCUAAACACAAACUGGGAAUAUUUGAGCUCCUGACCAAUUGGAACAGUUAUAAUGAAAACCAUAUUGUGAUCUGAAAACAUCUUAAGGCUUGAGAUCAAAUAGUUAUAAAACGGUUUCCAAAUUUUCGAAUCAGUGACUGAUUGUGAAACUAUAAAAGCAAUGAUGCAAUAGGUUCUUUUUAACCCUUAAUGUGAAGGUACCUCUUGUAUGACUCAUAGGAAUUCCAAAAUAGCAUUUUCCAAAAAAAAACACUUGGACGUUUUACUCCUGAGACUUUAAAGAAAGCCAGAACUUGGUAGACAAAAUAAUUUUAAUCCUUUUCUAAAGUGCCUAUUUCUGUUCAUUACUAAAGUAUGACAAGCUUUCUCUAACUCCCAGUCUAGCACCAUACCUCAGGGUUUAUAGGAUUGAGACCUUCCCUAGGAAUAGUUUAAUCACCGCUUGAUUGUAACCUAAAGCUCAGGGUUUAUUCGGCCUUUCUUCCCUUUGUCUGGACCGAGAUGGAGAUCUACUGUGAAAAACCAAGUUCUUCUAUUUUGGCAGUUUAUUUUGUAGAGCAUUCUUUCCAUAAUCCUUGAACAGUUUCUCUAUUAGACCAUCUACUUGCUUACCAAAUGGAUGUCCUGGUUUUAAUUCUAUGUAAUAGAUAAGUAAAAUCAGAGGCCCAUGACUUUAGCCAGUUAGCUCUUCUGGCUGUAAUAGAUAGACCCAUGAUUAUAGAUGGUAAUCCAAAUAUCAGUUUAAUGAUAUCUCUGAAGAGAUUUUACCCUCUCUGUAGUCAGCUCCAGUUGCAACAGUCACAGUCUCAAUCCCUUUAAAGUUAGGCUGAGGUGACAACUGCGUUGUGCUGCACUGCUCCUUCUAAAUAGGCACUUCUCAAAUCUGCUUCCAUUUUUCCAAAUGGUUUAAGUAACUGAUCAGAUGUUUAUCAAGUGCACAGUAAAAGCUUCAGAAUUCUGUUCUCAUAAAGUUCCGCUAUUUGAGAAGACAUUUCCACCCCAUUCUUUACUGCACUAAUUCAAAGCUUCGUCAUAUUCAGAUGGGGACAAACCUAAGAAAUCUAUCUCCAUUAUACUUAAAAAAAUGUGUACCGUUUUUAUAAUAAACCUGACUGCAGUGAAAU
Xenopus laevis (African clawed frog) is the source of this 3304-nucleotide long non-coding RNA. RefSeq lists it as uncharacterized. The record is from RefSeq and is a predicted model, not a curated record. The transcript is spliced from 10 exons. Lineage: Eukaryota; Metazoa; Chordata; Amphibia; Anura; Pipidae.